AUUGAACGCUGGCGGCAGGCUUAACACAUGCAAGUCGAGCGGAGAUGAGGUGCUUGCACCUUGUCUUAGCGGCGGACGGGUGAGCAAUGCUUAGGAAUCUGCCUAUUAGUGGGGGACAACAUUCCGAAAGGAAUGCUAAUACCGCAUACGUCCUACGGGAGAAAGCAGGGGAUCUUCGGACCUUGCGCUAAUAGAUGAGCCUAAGUCGGAUUAGCUAGUUGGUGGGGUAAAGGCCUACCAAGGCGACGAUCUGUAGCGGGUCUGAGAGGAUGAUCCGCCACACUGGGACUGAGACACGGCCCAGACUCCUACGGGAGGCAGCAGUGGGGAAUAUUGGACAAUGGGGGGAACCCUGAUCCAGCCAUGCCGCGUGUGUGAAGAAGGCCUUAUGGUUGUAAAGCACUUUAAGCGAGGAGGAGGCUACUGAGACUAAUACUCUUGGAUAGUGGACGUUACUCGCAGAAUAAGCACCGGCUAACUCUGUGCCAGCCGCCGCAGUAA
This 501-nucleotide ribosomal RNA is filed under the name uncultured bacterium. Its description in RNAcentral is "partial 16S ribosomal RNA". It matches the Rfam family "Bacterial small subunit ribosomal RNA", at positions 30 to 523 of the family's 1533-position model. The record is from RNAcentral.